This 1242-nucleotide ribosomal RNA is filed under the name Triticum aestivum (bread wheat). Its description in RNAcentral is "partial small subunit ribosomal RNA". Lineage: Eukaryota; Viridiplantae; Streptophyta; Magnoliopsida; Poales; Poaceae. The record is from RNAcentral.
AUGGAAAAAUCAUACAAGUUUUUAAGGUAUUUAAUUAUUUCACUUGUAUAUUGUUUUGGAUGCGUUUCAUUGUUCAUACGUAAAUUUUUAUAUGUAAGUAUAUUCAUUAUUAUUAUAUGUUAUUUAUACCGGGGCCCCGAAAUAUCAGGACCGGCCCUGGGGGAGAGUAUAGGGCCCCCACCACCCGCGCAUGCGCGACCGUGGCCUGGCAGAACCGCCCGCCAAACUCAACCCCGAAACCCCCCCGUUCCUCGCUCGACGCCACCACCGCCACGGGGGCGCGCACAUGCAACAAAUACACGCCGAUGGACUGACCGAUCGGCGAAAACCCACGGCGAAAUUGGGCGAGACGUGCGGUGCCGGGAAACGGACGGGCCGCUGCCAUCUAUCCAUCCAUCCAUCGCUUCUCGUCUCCCUCCCGGCGCCUUUCACAUGCUGCUUUCCUCUCCUGCCCGCGAAACAGAAAUUAGGCCUUGCCCAGCUGUACACGCCCACAAAAAGGAGAGAGCGGGCCAGGACUUAACCCCGCGAGUCACCCGCCUCCCGCCCGGACGGACACACACACGCACACACACAUACCUCGUCGGACCUCGUCGGUUCCUUCCGCAGGAGAUCGGCAUGGGAGCUGAGCAGCAGCAGCAGCAGACCGCCGGGGGCAGCAGGUUCGCCGCGGCGUUUGGCCUGCUGCGCCAGUACAUGAAGGACCAGCCUGGGGGCGGCGUGGUCACCGUGGGCCUCAUGCCGGGCGGCGGCGACGGCGUCGAGGCGGUCGCGCCGGAGGAGAGGAUCCGGACCAUGGAGCUCUUCCCCCAGCAGGCCGGCAUGGUCAGGGACUCGCGCGAAAGGACGGGGCCGGAGAGGGCGCCGCUGACCAUCUUCUACGCCGGGAGGACGGUGGUGUUCGACGACUUCCCCGCCGAGAAGGCCAAGGAGCUCAUGCAGCUCGCCGGCUCCUUCGGCGCGCUGCCGGCCGCCUCCGACGCCGGCGCCGAGCCCGUCUGCCAGAACGCGCCGGGGCAGCCUUGCUUUGCAGGUACGGAUCGCGCGACACUUUGUGACCUGCCGAUCGCGAGGAAGGCGUCGCUCCAUAGGUUCCUGGAGAAGAGGAAGAGCAGGCUGGCCGCGGCAGAUCCGUACCCUGCGCCGGUGGCGGCGCCAGGGGCUGGGACGGCCGGCAAGCCUGUGCCGGAGGACGGCGGCGCGCCGUGGCUCGGCGUCAACUCCGCGCUCCAGCUCAACUGA